AGCUCUAUGUAUCUUCACAGAGAUUUUGUCAGACGCUAACCUAUGAGGGUUGAUGAGACUCCCAAGAUACAUGAAGCA
Molecule: microRNA precursor, 78 nt
Filed under: Schistosoma mansoni
Lineage: Eukaryota; Metazoa; Platyhelminthes; Trematoda; Strigeidida; Schistosomatidae
Description: mir-3492 microRNA precursor family
Rfam family: mir-3492 microRNA precursor family
Source: Rfam by way of RNAcentral